ACAUAGAUAUAUAUGUGUAAUAUUCAUCGCUGGACGUUAAACAUUUAUUAUCAAUUUUUGCAAAGAUGAUUGUUCAUAUCUUACGGCAAUAUUGUUUAGUAGGAAGAUGUUGUAUGAUUGCCACUUUGUCAACUCUUAAAGAGACCAAAUGACACAGAAAGUAACAGCUAUUUGUCACAGUACGGCCUUCAACAAUCACCAAAACCCAUACCGCAUAAGUAGCUAUUAAAGCACC
Molecule: long non-coding RNA, 235 nt
Filed under: Mytilus galloprovincialis (Mediterranean mussel)
Lineage: Eukaryota; Metazoa; Mollusca; Bivalvia; Mytilida; Mytilidae
Source: RNAcentral